Pogoniulus pusillus (Red-fronted tinkerbird) is the source of this 661-nucleotide long non-coding RNA. RefSeq lists it as uncharacterized. NCBI's taxonomy places the organism in Eukaryota, Metazoa, Chordata, Aves, Piciformes, Lybiidae. The transcript is spliced from 3 exons. The record is from RefSeq and is a predicted model, not a curated record.
GUAGCACUCACGGUGGGCGGUGAGCCCUGUUACUUCCCAACGGGAGUCUUGCGAGCUCCUCCUUGCGAGCCUGACGGAGGGCGAGAAACAAGCAAGGUUGGAUCCCGACGGACUGUAACAAGAGAUCUUUGGACCACCAUCCAAAGCUGCUUUGCCAACUCCUCAGAAAGUUUCUGCAUAUCCCCAAAGUGCACUUCAUGAAUGACUAUCAGGAGAGAAGAGUUGAGAAGACUAUUUAAAUAAAAUCAAAGAGGCCAUCCAUUACAGGGCUAAAAAAUAAAAUUACUUAAAAGCAGAAAAGUACUGCAAGGAAUUCACCCCAAUUCAAGACAAAAUGAAAUGUGUAUCAAAAAGGCUGAGAAAAGGUCAGGAGGAAUUCCAUUUUUGUUAUCUUUAUAGUACCCAUUGUAUUGCAUUAAUCUUAUUGAAUUUUGCAAACAUUUGCUGCUGUGCAGAGGUGCAAGGAAGAAGUGCCUCAGAUGGAUAAUUUCUAUAUGCCUGAGUUGGUUUCCAUGACUGCACUGCCUGAUUCUGAAGCAAGGCCUGAACGCAGCCGAAUCUGAACUUCAGGUAGUUUAUGCUCAUGCUUGUAACAUUAACUGAAAUCCUUGAGACCCCUAAAUGUUGUGUGAGAUAGCCUGCCAUUAAAUCUUUGACUGGA